UACGUAGGGGGCAAGCGUUGUCCGGAAUUAUUGGGCGUAAAGCGCGCGCAGGUGGUUCCUUAAGUCUGAUGUGAAAGCCCACGGCUCAACCGUGGAGGGUCAUUGGAAACUGGGGAACUUGAGUGCAGAAGAGGAAAGUGGAAUUCCAAGUGUAGCGGUGAAAUGCGUAGAGAUUUGGAGGAACACCAGUGGCGAAGGCGACUUUCUGGUCUGUAACUGACACUGAGGCGCGAAAGCGUGGGGAGCAAACAGG
Molecule: ribosomal RNA, 253 nt
Filed under: uncultured bacterium
Lineage: Bacteria
Description: partial 16S ribosomal RNA
Rfam family: Bacterial small subunit ribosomal RNA
Source: RNAcentral